UCGCCCUGUUUUUUCAAAAACAUGUCCCCUUGGAUAAAGUAAGGGGUCAGGCCUGCUCACUGAUAAAUUUGUUAUUAAAGAGCUGCGGUAUAUUGACCGUACAAAGGUAGCAUAAUCAUUAGUUUUUUAAUUGAAAACUUGUAUGAAUGGUUCGACAAAACAAGUGCUGUCUCUAUUAUUAAAUUAAAACUUAACCUUUAAGUGAAAAGGCUUAAAUAUGUCAAAGGGACGAUAAGACCCUAUAAAGCUUUAUUUUUAAAGUCUGUUUUUAAAAAUUUAUAUAAUCUUUAAAUUAGACUAAAUUGAUUAGUUGGGGCGACAAAUAAAUAAAUUGUUUAACUUUAUUUAAAUUAAACAUACAUGUAUGAAGGGUUAAUAGAUCUUUAAUAAAGAUUUCUAGCAAAGUUACUUUAGGGAUAACAGCGUAAUUUUUUUUGAGAGUUCAUAUCGAAAAAAGAGAUUGCGACCUCGAUGUUGAAUUAAAAUGUCUAUUUAGGUGCAGCCGCCAAAUAAGAAGGUCUGUUCGCCUUUUU
This 533-nucleotide ribosomal RNA is filed under the name Ryphila cancellus. RNAcentral's name for it is "partial large subunit ribosomal RNA". It matches the Rfam family "Bacterial large subunit ribosomal RNA", at positions 1796 to 2590 of the family's 2925-position model. Lineage: Eukaryota; Metazoa; Arthropoda; Malacostraca; Decapoda; Leucosiidae. The record is from RNAcentral.